Molecule: long non-coding RNA, 519 nt
Filed under: Anas platyrhynchos platyrhynchos (common mallard)
Lineage: Eukaryota; Metazoa; Chordata; Aves; Anseriformes; Anatidae
Description: lncRNA (ENSAPLG00000029423.1)
Source: RNAcentral
AUGCGUGUGAAUCACAAGGGCCAUUUCCCCUCAUCAGGUUUCCUCAAGAGCAAUGCUUUCAAAAGCAUAAUUUGUCCCUCACAUUCCUCCUGCAAUACUCACAAGAAUGACCAAAGCCAAAUGUUGGGAAAGGUGUGUGUACUCGUUAUAUGGGUAUCCAGACCCUACAUUGCCCAAACACUUGCUUUUUCUGUUUCUUUCUCUCAGAUCAUAAAUCUUGCUUUAUCUGCUGUGUACAAUGCCAGGGCAGACUGUCUACAGUGCCCAGCCUCUGCAAAGCACUCGAGCAUGACUUGGAAAACAGCACUGCAUCUGAGACGUGUCAGCUCCUGUGGAACACAGCCUCAUGAAAUGGGGGAGGAAGGGAUUCCUACCAGUGUCGAGGAGAACCCAAAACUGAUCUGGCUUCAAGGCAGGAGGUGGAAAACUGCUUCCACCGAGGAGUCAGGAUCUGUGGCAGAGGUGAAACGGUUGAUUUUAGCAGUGCAAGCUGCAGACUAUUAUCUGGGAAGAGUUUGA